UCUGACCAAUGAUGACACCAUAUUACAAUAACGACUGCUGGAUGAAGUUUGCGGAUAUGGGACUGAGAUCGGCU
This is a small nucleolar RNA of Cheilinus undulatus (humphead wrasse), 74 nucleotides long. RefSeq annotates it as small nucleolar RNA SNORD99. Lineage: Eukaryota; Metazoa; Chordata; Actinopteri; Labriformes; Labridae. The transcript has a single exon. The record is from RefSeq and is a predicted model, not a curated record.